CCUACGGGUGGCAGCGGUGGGGAAUAUUGGACAAUGGGGGCAACCCUGAUCCAGCCAUGCCGCGUGUGUGAAGAAGGCCCUCGGGUUGUAAAGCACUUUCAGUGAGGAAGAACGCCUGGUGGUUAAUACCCAUCAGGAAAGACAUCACUCACAGAAGAAGCACCGGCUAACUCCGUGCCAGCAGCCGCGGUAAUACGGAGGGUGCGAGCGUUAAUCGGAAUUACUGGGCGUAAAGCGCGCGUAGGUGGCUUGAUAAGCCGGUUGUGAAAGCCCCGGGCUCAACCUGGGAACGGCAUCCGGAACUGUCAAGCUAGAGUGCAGGAGAGGAAGGUAGAAUUCCCGGUGUAGCGGUGAAAUGCGUAGAGAUCGGGAGGAAUACCAGUGGCGAAGGCGGCCUUCUGGACUGACACUGACACUGAGGUGCGAAAGCGUGGGUAGCAAACAGGAUUAGAUACCCGAGUAGUC
This 465-nucleotide ribosomal RNA is filed under the name Vreelandella stevensii. RNAcentral describes it as "partial 16S ribosomal RNA". It matches the Rfam family "Bacterial small subunit ribosomal RNA", at positions 338 to 795 of the family's 1533-position model. Lineage: Bacteria; Pseudomonadati; Pseudomonadota; Gammaproteobacteria; Oceanospirillales; Halomonadaceae. The record is from RNAcentral.